Molecule: ribosomal RNA, 279 nt
Filed under: Scrippsiella hangoei
Lineage: Eukaryota; Dinophyceae; Peridiniales; Peridiniaceae
Description: partial Eukaryotic small subunit ribosomal RNA
Rfam family: Eukaryotic small subunit ribosomal RNA
Source: RNAcentral
AGCUACAUGGAUAACCGUGGUAAUUCUAGAGCUAAUACAUGCUGUCAAACCCGACUUUUUGGAAGGGUUGUAUUUAUUAGAUAUUAAGCCAAUAUUCCUUGUGUCUAUUGUGGUGAAUCAUAGUAACUGAUCGAAUCCCUUUUUGUGGAUAAAUCAUUCAAGUUUCUGCCCUAUCAGCUUUCGAUGGUAGUGUAUUGGACUACCAUGGCGAUGACGGGUGACGGAGAAUUAGGGUUCGAUUCCGGAGAGGGAGCCUGAGAAAUGGCUACCACAUCCAAG